ACGGGGCGCAGCAGGCGCGAAACCUUUGCAAUGUGCGCAAGCACGACAAGGUUAAUCCGAGUGUUUCCUGCUAAAGGAAUCUUUUGUUAGUCGUAAAACCACUGAUGAAUAAGGGGUGGGCAAGUUCUGGUGUCAGCCGCCGCGGUAAAACCAGCACCUCAAGUGGUCAGGAGGAUUAUUGGGCCUAAAGCAUCCGUAGCCGGCUCUGCAAGUUUUCGGUUAAAUCCAUUUGCUUAACAAAUGGGCUGCCGAAAAUACUACAUAGCUAGGGAGUGGGAGAGGUAGACGGUAUUCGGUAGGAAGGGGUAAAAUCCUUUGAUCUAUUGUGGACCACCUAUGGCGAAGGCAGUCUACCAGAACACGUUCGACGGUGAGGGAUGAAAGCUGGGGGAGCAAACCGGAUUAGAUACCCGGGUAGUCCCAGCUGUAAACGAUGCAGACUCGGUGAUGCACUGGCUUGUGGCCAGUGCAGUGCCGCAGGGAAGCCGUUAAGUUUGCCGCCUGGGAAGUACGUACGCAAGUAUGAAACUUAAAGGAAUUGGCGGGGGAGCAC
RNAcentral lists this ribosomal RNA (553 nucleotides) under uncultured Nitrososphaerota archaeon. RNAcentral's name for it is "bacterial SSU rRNA". It matches the Rfam family "Archaeal small subunit ribosomal RNA", at positions 325 to 879 of the family's 1478-position model. The record is from RNAcentral. Lineage: Archaea; Thermoproteati; Nitrososphaerota.